Molecule: microRNA, 19 nt
Filed under: Ananas comosus (pineapple)
Lineage: Eukaryota; Viridiplantae; Streptophyta; Magnoliopsida; Poales; Bromeliaceae
Description: microRNA s0950_c122a
Source: RNAcentral
CCAACAGAUAAAGUACAUU